RNAcentral lists this ribosomal RNA (460 nucleotides) under uncultured bacterium. RNAcentral describes it as "partial 16S ribosomal RNA". It matches the Rfam family "Bacterial small subunit ribosomal RNA", at positions 338 to 795 of the family's 1533-position model. The record is from RNAcentral.
CCUACGGGUGGCAGCAGUGAGGAAUAUUGGUCAAUGGGCGUGAGCCUGAACCAGCCAAGUAGCGUGAAGGAUGACUGCCCUACGGGUUGUAAACUUCUUUUAUAAGGGAAUAAAGUGCGGCACGUGUGCCGUUUUGUAUGUACCUUAUGAAUAAGGAUCGGCUAACUCCGUGCCAGCAGCCGCGGUAAUACGGAGGAUCCGAGCGUUAUCCGGAUUUAUUGGGUUUAAAGGGAGCGUAGGUGGGCUGUUAAGUCAGCGGUGAAAGUUUGUGGCUCAACCAUAAAAUUGCAGUGGAUACUGGCAGUCUUGAGUACGGUUGAGGUAGGCGGAAUUCGUGGUGUAGCGGUGAAAUGCUUAGAUAUCACGAAGAACUCCGAUUGCGAAGGCAGCAUACUAAACCGCCACUGACAUUGAUGCUCGAAAGUGUGGGUAUCAAACAGGAUUAGAUACCCGAGUAGUC